AUACGGAGGAUGCGAGCGUUAUCCGGAUUUAUUGGGUUUAAAGGGUGCGCAGGCGGCUUCUUAAGUCAGCGGUAAAAUUUCCGGGCUCAACCCGGUCGUGCCGUUGAAACUGGGAAGCUUGAGUGCAGAUGAAGUGGGCGGAAUUUGUAGUGUAGCGGUGAAAUGCAUAGAUAUUACAAGGAACUCCGAUUGCGCAGGCAGCUCACUAAACUGUAACUGACGCUCAAGCACGAAAGCGUGGGUAUCAAACAGGAUUAGAUACCCUGGUAGUCCACGCAGUAAACGAUGAUUACUCGCUGUUUGCGAUAUACAGUAAGCGGCUUAGCGAAAGCGUUAAGUAAUCCACCUGGGGAGUACGCCGGCAACGGUGAA
This 372-nucleotide ribosomal RNA is filed under the name uncultured bacterium. RNAcentral describes it as "bacterial SSU rRNA". It matches the Rfam family "Bacterial small subunit ribosomal RNA", at positions 523 to 898 of the family's 1533-position model. The record is from RNAcentral.